This is a long non-coding RNA of Mauremys mutica (yellowpond turtle), 411 nucleotides long. RefSeq lists it as uncharacterized. The record is from RefSeq and is a predicted model, not a curated record. Lineage: Eukaryota; Metazoa; Chordata; Testudines; Geoemydidae. The transcript has 2 exons.
AGCGGCGUGUCCCCUCCGGCUCGCCGUACCAGGAGGCGGGGUUUUGUUUUCAAUACACGGGCCGCCGCCAUGUUAGACUUUCCGCUAGCGCCGAGUAGCUCCGGUGCUUGGCUCGUGUCCGAGUUUGACUGUGUCUUGCCAAGAGAACAGAGCAGGAUUUGGUUCGGGGCGGAGCGGUCAAGGGAGGUUAUUCUUUAACACAGCAGCUCUCAACCUUUCCAGACUGCGGUACCCCCUUUCAGGAGUCCUGAUUUGUCUUGUGUUACCCCCAAGUUUCACCUGACUUAAAAACAGCUUGCUUACAAAAUCAGAUAUAAAAAUGCUGAAGUGCUACAGCCACUGUUACUGUAAAAUUGCUGCCUUUCUCAUUUUUACCCUGUAAUUAUAAAAAUAAAUCAUUUGGAAGAUAAA